RNAcentral lists this ribosomal RNA (742 nucleotides) under uncultured bacterium. RNAcentral's name for it is "bacterial SSU rRNA". It matches the Rfam family "Bacterial small subunit ribosomal RNA", at positions 9 to 748 of the family's 1533-position model. The record is from RNAcentral.
GAGUUUGAUCAUGGCUCAGAUUGAACGCUGGCGGCAGGCCUAACACAUGCAAGUCGAGCGGUAACAGAUCCAGCUUGCUGGAUGCUGACGAGCGGCGGACGGGUGAGUACUGCAUAGGAAUCUACCCGGUAGUGGGGGAUAACCUGGGGAAACCCAGGCUAAUACCGCAUACGUCCUACGGGAGAAAGGGGGCUUUGGCUCCCGCUAUCGGAUGAGCCUAUGCCGGAUUAGCUGGUUGGUGAGGUAACGGCUCACCAAGGCGACGAUCCGUAGCUGGUCUGAGAGGAUGAUCAGCCACAUCGGGACUGAGACACGGCCCGAACUCCUACGGGAGGCAGCAGUGGGGAAUAUUGGACAAUGGGGGCAACCCUGAUCCAGCCAUGCCGCGUGUGUGAAGAAGGCCCUCGGGUUGUAAAGCACUUUCAGCGAGGAAGAACGCCUAUCGGUUAAUACCCGAUAGGAAAGACAUCACUCGCAGAACAAGCACCGGCUAACUCCGUGCCAGCAGCCGCGGUAAUACGGAGGGUGCAAGCGUUAAUCGGAAUUACUGGGCGUAAAGCGCGCGUAGGUGGCUUGAUAAGCCGGUUGUGAAAGCCCCGGGCUCAACCUGUGAACGGCAUCCGGAACUAUCAUGCUAGAGUGCAGGAGAGGAAGGUAGAAUUCCCGGUGUAGCGGUGAAAUGCGUACAGAUCGGGAGGAAUACCAGUGGCAAAGGCGGCCUUCUGGACUGACACUGACACUG